AACAGUAUUCUUGAUAAGUAUAUUAAUAUCAUGGAUAUGUAUGAUAGAGGCGUAAUAUUUUUUGAUCUAAUUAAAAA
RNAcentral lists this transfer RNA (77 nucleotides) under Clostridium ljungdahlii DSM 13528. RNAcentral's name for it is "tRNA-Ile". Lineage: Bacteria; Bacillati; Bacillota; Clostridia; Eubacteriales; Clostridiaceae. The record is from RNAcentral.